GCCAGACUCCUACGGGAGGCAGCAGUGGGGGAUAUUGCACAAUGGGGGGAACCCUGAUGCAGCGACGCCGCGUGGGUGAAGGAGCGUUUCGGCGCGUAAAGCCCUCUCGGCAGGGAAGAAGAUGACGGUACCUGACCAAGAAGCCCCGGCUAACUACGUGCCAGCAGCCGCGGUAAUACGUAGGGGGCAAGCGUUAUCCGGAUUUACUGGGUGUAAAGGGAGCGUAGACGGUUAUGUAAGUCUGGAGUGAAAGCCCGGGGCCCAACCCCGGGACUGCUUUGGAAACUGUGUAACUAGAGUACAGGAGGGGCAGGCGGAAUUCCUGGUGUAGCGGUGAAAUGCGUAGAUAUCAGGAGGAACACCGGCGGCGAAGGCGGCCUGCUGGACUGAAACUGACGUUGAGGCUCGAAAGCGUGGGGAGCAAACAGGAUUAGAUACCCGUGUA
This 445-nucleotide ribosomal RNA is filed under the name uncultured bacterium. RNAcentral describes it as "bacterial SSU rRNA". It matches the Rfam family "Bacterial small subunit ribosomal RNA", at positions 330 to 792 of the family's 1533-position model. The record is from RNAcentral.